This is a long non-coding RNA of Dermacentor andersoni, 824 nucleotides long. RefSeq lists it as uncharacterized. The record is from RefSeq and is a predicted model, not a curated record. NCBI's taxonomy places the organism in Eukaryota, Metazoa, Arthropoda, Arachnida, Ixodida, Ixodidae.
UAUGGCGUCUAAAGAUUUUAUUUCUUAUUACAUGCAGAACUGGCACUCCUGUAAAGAAAUGUGGGUACAUGCAUAUCGGCAGAAACUUCCUACAUUUGGUAAUAACACGAAUAAUCGCAUUGAGUGUCACAAUCAAAAAAUUAAAAGUUAUCUCACUUCAAGCAUGCAUUUGGUUCAAGCAAUAGAAGCAUUAGUAAGUUAUAUUGAGAAGGAUUUCUUAUCUCUAAAAUUUUCCAAGUUUAAGGAAAUGAAGCUGAACUUAAAUGUAAAUGAUGUCAGUGAGCCAUUUCAACUAGACUUGGCCCGUAAUUGCACUUCUGAGGCCACAAGUAAAGUACUUGAGCAGUAUGAACGGUUUAAAGAAGUAGGUUAUUUGGUUACUUCCACUGCUAAUUCUUAUGUAGUGGCUUCAGCAAGUUCUGAGCACAGUGUUUCAUUAUGCCUGACGCGUUGCAUGUGUGCUUUUUAUAAUCAGUACAGUUUGCCUUGUGCACACAUUAUAGCAGCUCGCCAUUUUGCCCAGCAAGACCUUUUUGACAAAGCAUGCAUACCAGACAGGUGGUGUAAGGAUCAUUUCCUGAGUGACAGCUGCAUGGUCUCAAGUGCCACACCAGUGGUGACAAGCAGCAUUCAGCUGCUGCCAUCUGUGAAGCUCGACACUGCUCAAGAAAAGUCCACUGAUGUACCAGCUGCAUGCAUUCACACUACCAUCAAGUCAUCAGGAGCGUCUGUACCUCUAUCUAAAUAUUACACUAUUGUCUAAGGUGGAAAAUGAGACUUGUAUAUUUUGCUGUAAUGGUUCUGCCAAUAAAAGAUUGAUUAUA